This 455-nucleotide ribosomal RNA is filed under the name uncultured Anaerolineaceae bacterium. Its description in RNAcentral is "bacterial SSU rRNA". It matches the Rfam family "Bacterial small subunit ribosomal RNA", at positions 28 to 457 of the family's 1533-position model. The record is from RNAcentral. Lineage: Bacteria; Bacillati; Chloroflexota; Anaerolineae; Anaerolineales; Anaerolineaceae.
GAUGAACGCUGGCGGCGUGCUUAAUACAUGCAAGUCGAACGAAGAUGUUCUUGAGUUUACUCGAGAGCUCUUAGUGGCGGACGGGUGAGUAACGCGUUGGUGACCUGCCCUAAAGAAGGGAACAACCUCGGGAAACUGAGGCUAAUACCCUAUGUGCUUAUUUAGAUUAGAUGCUUUAUAAGUAAAGGUUCUGUGGACGAAAGGCCACGGUGCCACUUUAGGAGGGGCCUGCGUACCAUCAGCUAGUUGGUAGGGUAAUGGCCUACCAAGGCAAAGACGGGUAGGGGACCUGAGAGGGUGGCCCCCCACAAUGGAACUGAAACACGGUCCAUACACCUACGGGUGGCAGCAGUAGGGAAUAUUGCACCAUGGGCGAAAGCCUGAUGCAGCAACGCCGCGUGAGUGAUGAAGGCCUUCGGGUCGUAAAACUCUUUUCAAGGGGAAGAGGAAGGACG